AACGCAAAUUGCACUUUCUGGUAUUCCGGAGAGUAUGCCUGUUUGAGGGUCAGUGUAAUAAAUAAAUCGUGGUUGUUACCACCUUUCGUGGUAACGCUUCGGAAUUGAGUCGUCUUACCUUCGGUUAAGUGACUUAAAAUUUUAUCAUACGAUUUCGAAACGUAUUUAAUGUAUUAUGUACGUUCACGAAUAUCGAAUGUUUAUUAGGUGCGGUCAUUUUUCAUGAAUCGUGUCUAUAAUUUUUUUUUUUUUGACCUCAAAUCAGGUAAGAAUACCCGCUGAACUUAA
RNAcentral lists this unclassified non-coding RNA (288 nucleotides) under uncultured Glomerales. RNAcentral describes it as "sequence contains 5.8S rRNA gene, ITS2, 28S rRNA gene". Lineage: Eukaryota; Fungi; Glomeromycota; Glomeromycetes; Glomerales; Glomeraceae. The record is from RNAcentral.